Episyrphus balteatus (marmalade hoverfly) is the source of this 1192-nucleotide long non-coding RNA. RefSeq lists it as uncharacterized. Lineage: Eukaryota; Metazoa; Arthropoda; Insecta; Diptera; Syrphidae. The transcript has 3 exons. The record is from RefSeq and is a predicted model, not a curated record.
UUUGCAUUACUUUGAUUUUUUUAAUCAUAAUUUUAUACUUUUUGUUUUGUUUUAAAUUUCAAUUUAUGAAAAUUUAUUUUCAUUGUUCAAUAAAAAUCAUUUAUCAAAACAUCGAAGUAAAUACUUAAAAUUAAUUUUCAACAAAAACAUUGAGGAAACUGGACAAGAAGGCAAGUACUGCUUUCGGGAAAAGAAGAGUCUUUAGUAAAAAUUGAGUUUUCUUAUGAACCUAGAUCCUAGAGGAUUCCAGCACGAACGGGCAAAUGUGUUGGAAACGACGAUUGUCGUUAACAUUUUGAACUCUGACCACGAAAAGAGCAGGUUUAUUGAGGAUUCAUUACUUGUGGUAUCAAAACGGUGAGCUUAUUGAAGAAAAAAAAAAAAAGAAAAGGAAGAAAAAGAAGAAGAUAAGAACAAGAAGAAGAACAAGAAGAAGAAGAAAAAAAAGAAGAAGAAGACGAAGAAGACGAAGAAAAAAUUAUAUCAAAGACCGAAAAAUUCGUGCAAAUAAAGGGUCCAUAAGAAAAACAGUACAAGUUUAUUCCAACUCAUUCUGAUGACACGUCUAUAAGUCAAGGAAAUUUCAAAGAAGUUUAGAAAUUUUAGUGGUUAACAUAUUAUAUUUAAUAUAUUUAACACGAAUGUUGUAAGUAUAGAUAAUUUAUUGCUUUUCUAAUAUUUUUAAGACAUGUUUUUUAAUCGAUUGCUGAAAAAGGGUAUAAGCAUACCCGAAACGUCGACUAGUACGAAUUAGAAUAUAUUGAAGAAAAUUUAUUUUACUGAAAAAGGUCACGAAAGGAGGAAUUCAUUAAUUAUACCAAAUAACUCGAAACGGCUCUAACGAUUUUGAAUAAACUUUGUAGACGUAAUAUUCAAAGCAAUUGCAAUAAAACUGCAUUUUUAGUUUUUCUAAAAAAGUCAAAUAACAAAAAAAAAUGUUAAUUUAAGAAAAUUUUACCCUUUGUCGGCUCUUUCCCAACAUCAACAAAAGUUCUUUAAAAUUUAUAUAGAGCCAGCUCUUAAAAUGUACAAGUAUUAUAAAAUAAAAGCGUUUUGAACUGCAAGAGCAAGUAUACGUGUAACCCAAUCGUGCAUUUUAUUUUAAUAACGCUUAAAUUCGUCUUCUUAUAGUAAGGAUGCCAUCACUAAAAGACCUCAUCAUGGGUUUUAAUUUUGACUAAAAGUGGCCAUU